ACUGGGAUCCGGGGAUCCUGGGAGGCUGAGGCAGGAGGCGCGCUUGAGCCCAGGCGUUCUGGGCCGCAGUGCGCUGUGCCCAUUGGGGGUCCCCGUUAAGCUGGACAUCAAGAUGGUGACCUCCCGGGAGCGGGGGACCACCAGGUUGUCUGAAGAGGGGUGAACCGGCCCAGGUCGGAAACGGGGCAGGUCAAAACUGGCGUGCCGAUCCGGAGUGAGGCCGCACCUGUGCACGGCCGGUGCUCUCCAGCCUGGGCAGCGCAGCGAGACCCCGUCUCCU
RNAcentral lists this signal recognition particle RNA (280 nucleotides) under Dasypus novemcinctus (nine-banded armadillo). Its description in RNAcentral is "Metazoan signal recognition particle RNA (ENSDNOG00000043618.1)". It matches the Rfam family "Metazoan signal recognition particle RNA". From Rfam's summary of the family: The signal recognition particle (SRP) is a universally conserved ribonucleoprotein. It is involved in the co-translational targeting of proteins to membranes. Lineage: Eukaryota; Metazoa; Chordata; Mammalia; Cingulata; Dasypodidae. The record is from RNAcentral.